AAGUCGUAACAAGGUUUCCGUAGGUGAACCUGCGGAAGGAUCAUUAACACAAUACAUUUACCCAAAUGUAUUUUAACCCCCCUUUGCAAACUUGUUUCAUAAUGUUUCUCCCGGAUGCGAAAAGUUAGAGAGGCUUCGGCUUCUCUCUUUCUGUAUCUGUGGUUUUCAAACCUUUUAACCCCUUGAACUGUCUUUGACUGAAACUCUGAGUAAGAAAAAAGAAGAGACUUCACAGUCUUUUGUUUGUUUUUACUCUGCCAUAUAUCAAACGCUGAACAACUCUUAGCAACGGAUAUCUUGGCUCUC
Molecule: unclassified non-coding RNA, 306 nt
Filed under: fungal sp.
Lineage: Eukaryota; Fungi
Description: partial internal transcribed spacer region
Rfam family: Eukaryotic small subunit ribosomal RNA (bases 1-46)
Source: RNAcentral